Molecule: ribosomal RNA, 274 nt
Filed under: uncultured bacterium
Lineage: Bacteria
Description: partial 16S ribosomal RNA
Rfam family: Bacterial small subunit ribosomal RNA
Source: RNAcentral
AUACGGAGGGUGCAAGCGUUACUCGGAAUCACUGGGCGUAAAGGACGCGUAGGCGGGAUGCCAAGUCUGAUGUGAAAUCCUAUGGCUCAACCAUAGAACUGCAUUGGAAACUGGUAACCUAGAGUAUGGGAGGGGGAGAUGGAAUUAGUGGUGUAGGGGUAAAAUCCGUAGAUAUCACUAUGAAUACCGAAAGCGAAGGCGAUCUCCUGGAACAUUACUGACGCUAAGGCGUGAAAGCGUGGGGAGCAAACAGGAUUAGAAACCCCAGUAGUCC